This is a long non-coding RNA of Drosophila montana, 916 nucleotides long. RefSeq lists it as uncharacterized. Lineage: Eukaryota; Metazoa; Arthropoda; Insecta; Diptera; Drosophilidae. The transcript has 3 exons. The record is from RefSeq and is a predicted model, not a curated record.
CUAAUAGAUACUCUAUAUACAACAUCAUUAAAUAAAUGUUCAUUAUAUAUGGGAAUUCACUUGAAAGGAAUGCGGUACAUAAGAAUCUACCCAGCAGAAAGACAGAACUUGGACUUGGCCAUGGAGGCUGAGUAAGAGUCGAUGUUAGCUUGAUCCAUUUGCUGUAUCUAUAAAAAGGCUGAUGCAAUUCAAAUGUCAAUUGCGUUGACUUUAGUUGAUAUAGUGAUCUGUUCUGUAUUGUUCCAAUCCGUUCCGAUCUGAUCCGUUUGCUGCUGUCGAUUUAUAUGUGUAUGCUGUAAACUAUGUAUAUGCAGCUAAUUGCAUAUUUCGGAAGUUCUAUAAAGGCAUUGAGGUGGACGAAUUCUAGCGGUGCUACUAAUUAACCUCUAAAAGGCAACAGCAGCCAUAGACGAGGGAGUGUUUGGGCAAUUAGAGAACAUUCUUAAGCCCCUCGACAAUGAACUGUUGCCAAUCAAGCAACAAAGACAUCUAAAAAACAAGACACUAAAUGUUCUAAGCAAAAUACCUUAUGUCUAAUAAUACGCGCGUUAAGCGCAAUUAUCUAGAUACAUAUACCUUGUAUAUCACUCUUUGCUUCGUCUAUCUGUCUGCUUGUUAUAGCGACCACAAAAAAGCCAAACAACUUGUUUAAACAGUGCAUAAACCAACACCCAGAUAAUUAUGACAAAAGCUCCAGUGUCAAUAAGAGUAAAACAACAUUGUGGAAAUCCAAAUAAUUUGUGCAAAAAUAACGCCUUUAUUUUGCUGGGGAAUUUAUACCCUUCCACGAAAUAUGAGUUAACGCAGCAAUGUGGGUAAGUGAAAAUAAAGAAUUCACAUAUACGAUUUUUAUACCCUCUUAAAAUAAAUUUGUUUACCGUUGUUUGAGAGAUGAUAACCGAACCCAUUUAAUAUA